UACGUAGGGGGCAAGCGUUGCCCGGAUUUAUUGGGCGUAAAGAGCUCGUAGGUGGUUUGGUAAGUCGGAUGUGAAAUCUCCAGGCUCAACCUGGAGGGGUCAUUCGAUACUGCCAUGACUAGAGGUCGGUAGGGGAGUGUGGAAUUCCUGGUGGAGCGGUGAAAUGCGCAGAUAUCAGGAGGAACACCCGUAGCGAAGGCGGCACUCUGGGCCGAUUCUGACACUGAGGAGCGAAAGCGUGGGGAGCGAACAGG
This 254-nucleotide ribosomal RNA is filed under the name uncultured bacterium. Its description in RNAcentral is "partial 16S ribosomal RNA". It matches the Rfam family "Bacterial small subunit ribosomal RNA", at positions 524 to 776 of the family's 1533-position model. The record is from RNAcentral.